RNAcentral lists this transfer RNA (67 nucleotides) under Acanthochitona mahensis. Its description in RNAcentral is "tRNA-Glu". Lineage: Eukaryota; Metazoa; Mollusca; Polyplacophora; Chitonida; Acanthochitonidae. The record is from RNAcentral.
CAGAUAAGUGGUGUAAUCUUAGCACAAUUGAUUUUCAUUCAAUCAGUAUGUUUAUUCAUCUAUCUGA